GAUGAACGCUGGCGGCGUGCCUAAUACAUGCAAGUCGAGCGAACAGACCAGGCGCUUGCUCCUCUGACGUUAGCGACGGACGGGUGAGUCACACGUGGAUAGCCCACCUAUACGACUUGGAUAACUUCGGGAAACCGGAGCUCAUACCGGAUAAUAUAUUGAACCUCAUGGUUCAAUAGUGAAAUUCGGUUUUGCUGUCGCUUAUAGAUUGAUCCGCGCCGGAUUGGCUAGUUGGCAAGGUAACGGCUUACCAAGGCCGGGAUGCGUAGCCUACCUGAGAGGGGGAUGGGCGACACGGGAACUGAAACACGACCCAGAGUCCUAGGGGAGGCAGCAGUACGGAAUCUUCGGCAAUGGGGGAAAGCCUGACGGAGCAACGCCGCGUGAGUGAUGAAGGUCUUCGGAUCGGAAAACUCUGUUAGUGUGGAAGAACACAUGUGUAAGUAACUAUGCAUGUCUUGACGGUACCUAAUUAAAAAGCCACGGCUAACUACGUG
This 497-nucleotide ribosomal RNA is filed under the name uncultured bacterium. Its description in RNAcentral is "partial 16S ribosomal RNA". It matches the Rfam family "Bacterial small subunit ribosomal RNA", at positions 28 to 507 of the family's 1533-position model. The record is from RNAcentral.